UCAAGAAACUUCCACAAUGGGCGAAAGCCUGAUGGAGCGACGUCGCGUGAUGGACGAAGUGCUUCGGCACGUAAACAUCUUUUAUGUGGGAUGAAAUUAUUGACAGUACCACAUGAAUAAGGGGCUCCUAACUCUGUGCCAGCAGGAGCGGUAAUACAGAGGCCCCAAGCGUUAUCCGGAAUCACUGGGCGUAAAGGGUGUCGAGGCGGUUGUAUUAGUCGUUCGUAAAAUCUACGAGCUUAACUUGUAGGCGGCGAACGAAACGGUACGACUUGAGGUUUGGAGAGGUGCGUGGAACUCACGGUGUAGGGGUGAAAUCCGUUGAUAUCGUGGGGAACACCAAAGGCGAAGGCAGCGCACUGGCCAAAAUCUGACGCUCACACACGAAAGCUAGGGUAGCGAAGAGGAUUAGAUACCCCCGUAGUCCCUGAGCGGGCUGGGCAAGGCGCAU
RNAcentral lists this ribosomal RNA (451 nucleotides) under uncultured bacterium. RNAcentral's name for it is "bacterial SSU rRNA". It matches the Rfam family "Bacterial small subunit ribosomal RNA", at positions 355 to 825 of the family's 1533-position model. The record is from RNAcentral.